UAUAGGCAAAUACAAGAUAAUUUCACGUUCGACCUAUAACCUACUAUUAGAAUCCGCGGUCAAUUCGUUAUAGCCAUUGAACCUACGUAUCUUCAUAAAUUAGUUUAUUUGACGACGAAACUUUAAUUAUCGUAAUUCAAAGUAAUGGAGACGAAAAAAUGCAUAGCGAAUAAUGAUUCAAAAUUAGACGGGUGUGAGCAAAAGAGCAAAAACAGUUACUGGAAACACUUGCUGAGCCAGCAUGAAAAGAAGUAUGCAGCGCUGGAGAGGCGCCAAGCUGCCCUUGCUGAAAGGGUGAAAUUCAUGGAGUACGCGCUGCCAUCUUUAUUAAUGGGUACUGCAAUAAAUUCACAGCAAAAACCAGAAAAUUCAAAAUCGCCUUCCAAGGCUCUUGAUAAGUGAGGAUAAUGUGCCGAGAAUGUCGUCAACGAAAUAUAAAUAGUGAAAAAAAAAUUAAUUAAAAUGAUUACAUUGAUAGUAAAAAAGUCCGAGGAAAAUACAAGGCAAUGUUCAAAUACAUUAUUCAUAUUUUACCUCUGCUAUAUAACUUAAAUUAAAAAAAAAGAUAAUAUUUCAAUUGAA
This 582-nucleotide long non-coding RNA is filed under the name Nasonia vitripennis (jewel wasp). Its description in RNAcentral is "uncharacterized LOC116417160, transcript variant X2". Lineage: Eukaryota; Metazoa; Arthropoda; Insecta; Hymenoptera; Pteromalidae. The record is from RNAcentral.